AGAGUUUGAUCCUGGCUCAGAAUCAACGCUGGCGGCGUGCCUAACACAUGCAAGUCGCACGAGAAAGGGGAGCAAUCCCUGAGUAUAGUGGCGCACGGGUGAGUAACACGUGACUAACCUACCCUCGAGUGGGGAAUAACCUAGGGAAACCUGGGCUAAUACCGCAUAACACUUACGAGUCAAAGCAGCAAUGCGCUUGGGGAGGGGGUCGCGGCCGAUUAGCUAGUUGGCGGGGUAAUGGCCCACCAAGGCAAUGAUCGGUAUCCGGCCUGAGAGGGCGCACGGACACACUGGAACUGAGACACGGUCCAGACUCCUACGGGAGGCAGCAGUGGGGAAUUUUGCGCAAUGGGGGAAACCCUGACGCAGCAACGCCGCGUGGAGGAUGAAGUCUCUUGGGAUGUAAACUCCUUUCGAUCGGGACGAUUAUGACGGUACCGGAAGGAGAAGCCCCGGCUAACUUCGUGCCAGCAGCCGCGGUAAUACGAGGGGGGCAAGCGUUGUUCGGAAUUAUUGGGCGUAAAGGGAGCGUAGGCGGUUUUGUAAGUCGUGUGUGAAAUCUUCAGGCUCAACCUGAAGUCUGCACACGAAACUGCAGGGCUUGAGUAUGGGAGAGGUGAGUGGAAUUCCUGGUGU
Molecule: ribosomal RNA, 636 nt
Filed under: uncultured bacterium
Lineage: Bacteria
Description: bacterial SSU rRNA
Rfam family: Bacterial small subunit ribosomal RNA
Source: RNAcentral